GCACUUUCCAACUCUCCGUGAAGCCCGCUGCCCUCACCCGUGGGGCUGCCUUCCCAACCGACAGUGAAGGUGACAGCUGAGAGGCCGAAUGCACAAAGGCACCGUGUUGCCCCUGCCUGUGUGCCCGCAUGGUUGUUCGGAGUGACCGCGGCCCCGGGGCACACUUCCCCAUGGACUGGAGAUGCCCGAGUCUCCCUGGGGCCUCAGCUGCCAGGCCCCGCCCCCUCUCUCAGGUCAGAGGAUAGCUCCUCCUUGCUCCUGCCAUAAUCUUUAUCUUAAAGUUAUCUGUCCACAGGGGACAGAUUUCAGUUGCUCAGCCUGGGACCCCUCCAUCUCCUGCUUCAUCCCUGGCCCAUGGGGCUGAUGCUCCAGAGUGACAAGAAAUAGGUAACAAACGAGACAAUUUUAGACAGCAAGUUGCAUCCUAAGGAGCUUAAAGCUCACUUUGUAAGAGGUCUGACAACCACGAUGGUGAUGACUGCCGUUUGGAGACUUGUCACAGCUGUUGUCCCACCAUUGUCGCUUGAAGCAGAUGGCAAAUGGAGGCAGCUUUCCCUGGAAUCCUCGCAAAGUCCAAAAGAAGGCCCCAGACAACAACCAUCUUUAAGAGCAGGACUUUGGCUCUGGCCCAUGGGUUGCAGAGCUUGGAGUGGUUCUGAACCAACUGCCCUUUGAAGUGGAGCGCAUCUCGUCGGAUGUAUACUGUGUGGGCAUUUUGGAUGGUUUCUAAGGCAUCUGCCUUCCAUCAAGAUCAAACACUCCUGUAGUACAGUGGGUUAGGCAUCCAGCAUUGUCACUGCAGUGGCUUGGAUCACUGCUGUGGCGCAGGUUCCACCCCUGUCCCGGGAACUUCUACUGGCUGAGGGUACGGCCGAAACAAAUCAAACAGUAGUAAAAUGAUUUAUCCCACUUGCAGCUUGGCCUUCAUUUUGUUUCUCAUAUUAUUUCCUCCUCCCCCCGCCCACCCACUUUUCUUGGCAUGGGUGCAUCUGUUUAGGAGGGAUGCGCCUGGCAGUGGGAGAACGUGUUUCUUUCUGCUUUCCGGCACUCGUGCCUGGAGUCACAAGAGAAGUCACAAGUCAUCGGGCCCAGAAUACACUGCAGGGCUGCCUGUUGCCUCUGUCGCUGUAACUGACCUGUUGUGGGUGAUGUCGUGCUUUGCAGUUGGGGUGUAGAUGUACGUCUGGGCACUGGAUGUUCAAGUUCCUGCUUCCAGGGACAUUCACAGGCUGGGAGCCAGAGGGACCCGGUUAGAAUCCUGUCCUGCCACCACCCAGCUGUGUGAGCUAGUUACUGGAUUUCCUUCUCUCUGGUGAGGAGACCUAUGGAGCAGUGAAUGGACAGAGACCUGAAAUACAAAGUGCCAGGUGGCCCUGGUGCUCAAGGACCCUGGCCUCCUCUAAACCAGUCAAAUGAUACUGCCUUUGAGCAAUGCCUCUGGGUGGUCAGCCUGCUGCUUAACUCUUCUUGGGAGGUUGGUCAUGAUUGGUCACCCUCCUGGGUCUCGAGUAUCUGCCACCAGAAGAGCACGUGGUAAGACAGGCGGGACCUGGGACCCUUUGCUGCUGUGGUUGCAGUGCUUGCACCUGGACAAGCAUCUCCUGGAGAAACAAAAUACAAAGAAACUCCAAGGGACUGAAAAUAACUGUGGACAUGCUCAGUCGGGGCAAAUUAUGGGCAUGAAGAUACAAAAACUCUAAAACCCCAACUGCCACUUCUGAAAAGCAGAGAGCAAAAACCGGGUGUCAGGAGCAAAAGCACAUGAUACCACCAAAGAAGGGCAGACCACCGAAGCCACAGCUCUGGCCCUACCCCUGGACCAACCCCUAUGAAAGUAACCAGGUCCCCCUGCACCCCUCCCCCCCAGCAAGCUAGCAAGGGAAACUUGCUUAAUUUCAGUACCGACCCCCCCGACCGCACCCCCACCCCCGGCUGCAACAGGGGCCUCAAUAAAGCCUUGCCUGAAU
RNAcentral lists this long non-coding RNA (1967 nucleotides) under Sus scrofa (pig). RNAcentral's name for it is "lncRNA (ENSSSCG00030021774.1, ENSSSCG00040048828.1)". Lineage: Eukaryota; Metazoa; Chordata; Mammalia; Artiodactyla; Suidae. The record is from RNAcentral.